UUUGUUUUAGUAUAAUAUAUUAUUUUAGCUUUUCGUGUUAAGGAUAGUUUGUGUAUGACUAAACAAAA
RNAcentral lists this transfer RNA (68 nucleotides) under Taenia asiatica. RNAcentral describes it as "tRNA-Glu". Lineage: Eukaryota; Metazoa; Platyhelminthes; Cestoda; Cyclophyllidea; Taeniidae. The record is from RNAcentral.